CAGUCGCCACGGGAAUACGUAGGGGGCAAGCGUUAUCCGGAAUUACUGGGUGUAAAGGGAGCGUAGACGGUUAAACAAGUCUGAAGUGAAAUGCCGGGGCUCAACCCCGGAGCUGCUUUGGGAACUGUAGAACUGGAGUGUCGGAGGGGCAAGCGGAAUUCCCAGUGUAGCGGUGAAAUGCGUAGAUAUUGGGAGGAACACCGGCGGCGAAGGCGGCUUACUGGACGACAACUGACGUUGAGGCUCGAAGGCGUGGGUAGCAAACAGGAUUAGAUACCCCCGUAGUCCCUGUCUCUUAUAU
This 301-nucleotide ribosomal RNA is filed under the name uncultured bacterium. RNAcentral's name for it is "partial 16S ribosomal RNA". It matches the Rfam family "Bacterial small subunit ribosomal RNA", at positions 509 to 809 of the family's 1533-position model. The record is from RNAcentral.